CACGUAGGGUGCGAGCGUUGUCCGGAAUUAUUGGGCGUAAAGAGCUCGUAGGCGGUGUGUCGCGUCGGCCGUGAAAACCUGCAGCUUAACUGUGGGCUUGCGGUCGAUACGGGCAUCACUGGAGUUCGGCAGGGGAGACUGGAAUUCCUGGUGUAGCGGUGAAAUGCGCAGAUAUCAGGAGGAACACCGGUGGCGAAGGCGGGUCUCUGGGCUGACACUGACGCUCAUGCACGAAAGCGUGGGGAGCAAACAGG
This 254-nucleotide ribosomal RNA is filed under the name uncultured bacterium. RNAcentral's name for it is "partial 16S ribosomal RNA". It matches the Rfam family "Bacterial small subunit ribosomal RNA", at positions 524 to 776 of the family's 1533-position model. The record is from RNAcentral.